CUCUAUAUAUAGCAAAUCAGCUUUUUUGAGAAAUCAUUAUUCAUUCUUUCUUUGAAAACAAUAAUCCACCUUUGUCCUUCUUUUUCUUUUUAGUCUCUGUUUCUUCUUGAUCAAGCUCUGUCACCGAUCUCGAGAACGUCAUAGCUCGAUGACCAUCCGCACCAAACUGUAACUCAUGGUUGAACACACGAUCAAAGAUCUGCCCACACCGUUCUUAUUCUCCGUUUCUUUGUUUUUUGCGUUUCACGAUCUCCGGCAAAUCAUGGAGGAUCUCACCGAGAGUCGGAGGUGGUGACGCAAACCAUGGAUGCAUCAUAUGCGCCGUUGUCACGAGAGCCAGGUUCCUAUCUUAAUUAAUCAAGAUUCGCCGAGACUGUUUUGGUUUCUGUGGAAUGAUAGAGAGAACACAUCAUGUUAUUGCUUGUUUAAAGGCCAGCAACGGAAAAACCAGUUCAAGCUUUUCAUAGAGGUAAAACACGGCAGAGAUUAAAAAACGAACGACAUGCAAAAAUAUACUUCUCCGAAUAGUACGGGCUAAACUAUUGGGCCUUAUCAAUCCUACAGAUCUCCUUCUAACUGGGCUUUGAGAGUUUAUAUAUAGUGUACAGGUUCGUAAUAAACUUUUUAUUAGUGUUUAAAAAAUAAUUAAUUAGGGAAGGAUCGUAUUUGGUCAGUGGAAGAUACGCAGCACAUAUUCCAACUAAUCAUCGACAGCUCAUUGCUUCCAUUUGUCAGCUUAUCCGAAGCCGACCAUUUUAAAGACUUUAGUUUUAAAUUACUUAUCUUAUCGGUCGAAUUAAGUUCAAACUAAUUCUAUAUUAAUUACUGUAUUAUUUACUCGUUGAAACUACUACUACAGUAGUACUACAAAAAUAAAAGAUUUUAUUAUUA
Arabidopsis lyrata subsp. lyrata is the source of this 891-nucleotide long non-coding RNA. RefSeq lists it as uncharacterized. The transcript has 3 exons. Lineage: Eukaryota; Viridiplantae; Streptophyta; Magnoliopsida; Brassicales; Brassicaceae. The record is from RefSeq and is a predicted model, not a curated record.